GGGUUGUGAGGUUAAGCGACUAAGCGUACACGGUGGAUGCCCUGGCAGUCAGAGGCGAUGAAGGGCGUGCUAAUCUGCGAUAAGCGCCGGUAAGGUGAUAUGAACCGUUAUAACCGGCGAUACCCGAAUGGGGAAACCCAGUGUGACUCGUCACACUAUCAUUAACUGAAUCCAUAGGUUAAUGAGGCGAACCGGGGGAACUGAAACAUCUAAGUACCCCGAGGAAAAGAAAUCAACCGAGAUUCCCCCAGUAGCGGCGAGCGAACGGGGAGGAGCCCAGAGCCUGAAUCAGCAUGUGUGUUAGUGGAAGCGUCUGGAAAGGCGCGCGAUACAGGGUGACAGCCCCGUACACAAAAGCGCAUGUGCUGUGAGCUCGAUGAGUAGGGCGGGACACGUGGUAUCCUGUCUGAAUAUGGGGGGACCAUCCUCCAAGGCUAAAUACUCCUGACUGACCGAUAGUGAACCAGUACCGUGAGGGAAAGGCGAAAAGAACCCCGGCGAGGGGAGUGAAAAAGAACCUGAAACCGUGUACGUACAAGCAGUGGGAGCACCCUUUUGGGUGUGACUGCGUACCUUUUGUAUAAUGGGUCAGCGACUUAUAUUCUGUAGCAAGGUUAACCGUAUAGGGGAGCCG
Molecule: ribosomal RNA, 634 nt
Filed under: Salmonella enterica subsp. enterica serovar Cerro
Lineage: Bacteria; Pseudomonadati; Pseudomonadota; Gammaproteobacteria; Enterobacterales; Enterobacteriaceae
Description: partial 23S ribosomal RNA
Rfam family: Bacterial large subunit ribosomal RNA
Source: RNAcentral